RNAcentral lists this long non-coding RNA (1487 nucleotides) under Chrysolophus pictus (golden pheasant). Its description in RNAcentral is "lncRNA (ENSCPIG00010001360.1)". Lineage: Eukaryota; Metazoa; Chordata; Aves; Galliformes; Phasianidae. The record is from RNAcentral.
CCCCCAGGCCGGUAGCCACGCUGGUAGCCACGGCGGUAGCCACGUGCCGUCUGCAGGUUCACGCUGAACGUGUGGGACGUGGGCGGGCAGAGCUCGCUGCGCUCCUACUGGCGGAAUUACUUCGAGAGCACCGACGGCCUGGUGUGGGUGGUGGACAGCGGCGAACGGCGGGGGCCGCACGGCGGUAGCCACGUGCCGUCCGCAGGUUCACGCUGAACGUGUGGGACGUGGGCGGGCAGAGCUCCCUGCGCUCCUACUGGCGGAAUUACUUCGAGAGCACCGACGGCCUGGUGUGGGUGGUGGACAGCGGCGACCGGCAGCGUCUGCAGCUCUGCGCCUCCGAGCUCACAGCUCUGCUCAGGGAGGAGCGCCUGGCCGGCGCCACCCUGCUGGUGUUGGCCAACAAACAGGACCUGCCUGGAGCGCUGCCGCCCAGCGCCAUCCGCGAGGUGGGAACCGCCCCAUAGCGCCCCAUAGCGCCCCAUAGCGACCCAUAGCGCCCCAUAGCGACCCAUAGAGACCCAUAGCGCCCCAUAGCACCCCAUAGCGACCCAUAGACACCAAUAGGGACCCAUAGCGACCCAUAGAGACCCAUAGGGACCCAUAGGGCCUGUAGCGACCCAUAGGGAGCCAUAGCGACCCAUAGAGGCACAUAGACACCAAUAGGGACCCAUAGAGACCCAUAGACACCAAUAGGGACCUAUAGGAAUCCAUAGAGACCCACAGCGACCCAUAGAAACCCAUAGAGACCCAUAGAGACCCAUAGGAACCCAUAGAGACCUACAGACAGAUCGAUAGGGACCCAUAGGGACCCACAGAGACCCAUAGGGACCCAUAGGGACCCAUAGUGACCCAUAGACACCAAUAGGGACCCAUAGCGACCCAUAGAGACCCGUAGACAUCAAUAGGAAGCCAUAGAGACCCAUAGGGACCCAUAGGGCCCAUAGUGACCCAAAGGGACCCAUAGCGACCCAUAGAGAUCUACAGCAACCCAUAGGGACCCAUAGGGACCCAUAGGGCCCAUAGCGACCCAUAGGGACCCGUAGUGACCCAUAGCGACCCAUAGGGACCCCCAGAAACCUACAGAGACCCAUAGGGAUGCAUAGAAACCCAUAGAGACCCAUAAGAACCCAUAGAGACCUACAGACAGACCCAUACGGACCCAUAGGGACCCAUAGACAUCCACAGAGACCCAUAGAGACCCACAGGGACCCAUAGAGACCCAUAGGGACCCAUAGGGACCCAUAGGGACACAUGGGGACCCAUAGAGACCUACAAAGACCCAUAGUGCUGCCCCAUAGAGACCUAUAGGUACCCAUAAGGAUCCAUAGAGACCCAUAGAGACCCACAGAAAGAGACCCGUGGUGCCCCAUAGGGACCCAUAGGGACACAUAGGGACCCCCAGAAACCCCCAGAGACCCAUAGAGACCCAUAACGACCCAUAGAGACCCCAUAGUGACCCAUAGGGCCCAUAGCAACCCAGAGGG